RNAcentral lists this microRNA precursor (103 nucleotides) under Marmota monax (woodchuck). The record is from RNAcentral. Lineage: Eukaryota; Metazoa; Chordata; Mammalia; Rodentia; Sciuridae.
AGUGGGAUUGCUGGGUCAUAUGGUAAUUCAAUUUCUAGUGUUUUGAAGAACCUCCAUACUGUUUUCCAUUGUGGCUGUACUAAUCUGCAUUCCCAAUAACAGU